RNAcentral lists this ribosomal RNA (231 nucleotides) under uncultured bacterium. RNAcentral describes it as "partial 16S ribosomal RNA". It matches the Rfam family "Bacterial small subunit ribosomal RNA", at positions 99 to 334 of the family's 1533-position model. The record is from RNAcentral.
CGGACGGGUGAGUAAUGUUUGGGAAACUGCCUGAUGGAGGGGGAUAACUACUGGAAACGGUAGCUAAUACCGCAUAACGUCGCAAGACCAAAGAGGGGGACCUUCGGGCCUCUUGCCAUCGGAUGUGCCCAGAUGGGAUUAGCUAGUAGGUGGGGUAACGGCUCACCUAGCGACGAUCCCUAGCUGGUCUGAGAGGAUGACCAGCCACACUGGAACUGAGACACGGUCCAG